CGUAGGUCCCGAGCGUUGUCCGGAUCUAUUGGGCGGUAAAGACGAGCGCAGGCGGUUAGAUAAGUCUGAAGUUAAAGGACUGUGGCUUAACCAUAGUACGCUUUGGUAAACUGUUUAACUUGAGUGCAAGAGGGGAGAGUGGAAUUCCAUGUGUAGCGGUGAAAUGCGUAGAUAUAUGGAGGAACACCGGUGGCGAAAGCGGCUCUCUGGCUUGUAACUGACGCUGAGGCUCGAAAGCGUGGGGGAGCAAACAGGAUU
RNAcentral lists this ribosomal RNA (258 nucleotides) under uncultured bacterium. Its description in RNAcentral is "partial 16S ribosomal RNA". It matches the Rfam family "Bacterial small subunit ribosomal RNA", at positions 526 to 779 of the family's 1533-position model. The record is from RNAcentral.